GAGAGAGAGAGAGAGAGAGAGUCCGGCUGGGAUAAUAUCGAUAGCGGCAAGCACUUGGUGCUACCAAGUUUUCGCCGUUAGAUUUAACUCUUUGACUAUUUUUCACCCGUUAGAUUAUACUAUUCAACCAAUAACUCACUCAAUUCUAGGGGACCCAUAUCAUCCUAACCGUACAUUUCUUAAUCCAAUGGCCGAAAACCUAAUAGCACCAAUAAUUUGGUGCUAUUGAUAGCAUCAAAAAAUUAUUACAGAAGUAAAUUUGCCUUAUAUUUAAAGUUACACUGUCCAUCUGCUAUAGUUGAAGAUGUAGACAAUUUGAAUGCAAUUUCAACUACUGCAGUUGGACCUUCACGCAUUCAACUCCAACUGUAACAAUUGAAUUCAAAUGUAUUAAAUUAAAAGUCGAAUAGCGACUGCAUAACACAAAUUGUAACUAUGUGCAAUC
This 445-nucleotide long non-coding RNA is filed under the name Ananas comosus (pineapple). RNAcentral describes it as "long non-coding RNA (ACOM_LNC041510)". Lineage: Eukaryota; Viridiplantae; Streptophyta; Magnoliopsida; Poales; Bromeliaceae. The record is from RNAcentral.